ACGUCAGUUGUCUGCUGGAUCAGUCGGAGCGGAGCGGUGUGUGUGUGUGGGGUCUGUCAGUGUUGGGCUGUGACACGGGGACACACUAGCGCCUCAGGGAUCCCUAGCGACUCUUCUCUCACCCCUCGGGGUCCACGGACUAUUUGUAUUGCCCGGACUGUUCCCUCGGAUUCCCGCUGGAUUGUGCGGAGGAAUAAAGCCCCGUAUGGAGAAGUAUCUCCCGCAGCUCCUGGCUGAGAAGGACGCGCUGGAUCCGUCAUUUACUCACGCGCUCAGGAUGGUGAAGGAAGAGAUUGAAAAAUUACAGAAGGGAGAAGACAGCACAGAAGACCAGUACAUCGAUGUGGUGAUCAAUAAGAAUAUGAAGUUGGCACAAAAAGUCUUAAUUCCUAUUAAACAAUUCCCUAAGUUUAACUUUGUCGGCAAACUCCUGGGGCCCCGUGGGAAUUCCUUGAAACGACUGCAGGAAGAUACGCUGACGAAGAUGUCCAUUCUGGGCAAAGGGUCUAUGAGAGAUAAAGCAAAGGAGGAAGAGUUGAGGAAAAGCGGAGAAGCCAAAUACUAUCAUCUGAAUGACGACCUCCACGUCCUUAUUGAAGUGUUUGCUCCCCCAGCAGAGGCCUAUGCCAGGAUGGGACACGCACUGGAAGAAAUCAAGAAGUUUCUCAUUCCUGAUUAUAAUGAUGAAAUCAGACACGCACAACUGCAAGAACUCACCUAUUUAAAUGGUGGCCCCGAAACUACAGAAGCCCCAGCAGUUCGUGGAAAACCUUCGUUAAGGGCUCGGGGAGUACCAGUACCCGCGUUACCCAGGGGACGUGGUGGUGUCCCUCCAGCACCUACAGGAGUACCAAGAGGGGCACCUGCUCCCAGAGGUGUAACACCAGCGAGGGUAUCCUCUGCACGCGCCCGCGGACUGGUGGCCACAAGAGCAAGGGGCAUUCCACCACCAGCAGGGUAUCGGCCUCCACCUCCAGUUCAAGACACCUAUGGAGAAUAUGAUUAUGACGACGGCUAUGGCACGGCUUAUGACGAACAGAGUUACGACUCGUACGACAAUAACUAUAACUCACAAGGACAAAGUACAGCAGAUUACUAUGAUUAUGGACAUGGGCUUGGGGAAGAUUCCUAUGGGCAAGAAGAUUGGGCUAACUCGAGGCACAAAGCACCACCUGCAAGAGCAUGCAAAGGAACCUACAGAGAGCAGCCAUAUGCAAGAUACUGAUUGUACAGUCUGACGUUGUGAAUUAUCAAGUCUCCUCCAGCCCUGUAUACUGUUCAAAGGAGCAGGUAAUAAUCAUCCUGGGGAAUAGGACUGACGCUAAUGACAUAGGAAAUGUAGGGAUUAUUCAUUAAACACACAGAUGGUAUUGAAAAGAAUGAAGAACUCACCAAUGUGCCUACGACGCCAUCGACCACUAGAUCAAAAUGCACCUUGAAACGAUUCAUCAAUUUAUUAUGUUGUUUUUAACCUCAUCAGUCACCAACUUUAUGGACAGUUAAACAAUAACUCAAUAAAUACCAGUAUUUCAUCUUAUCUUAAUCAUUUCAAAGCAGUCCCUAACCAUCAUGCACUGAAUGCUCGCUUUCUUGCAGUUGGUAGUCAUUUAUUGAAUCUACUAGGAGUCAACUGUGAAGGCACCAUGCACCCAAUCUUCCUACCUCAAUAAAUUUCCACAGGUCUCUGCGUUCUGUCUUGGGGCACAGAGAUCUGAGGCCACCUCUGCAUGAAUGUGGGUGUCCCACCUGCCGUCCCCUACCCAUGCCCUACCAUUCCUGCACCAGCCAGCUAAACCCCAUGCAAAACUGCUCUCUGUUUGAUCACUGAAGAGUGUGUUCUUGUUGGCCCCUUAGUGUUCUUGCACUUCUGCCAGGGGUCUUCAUAAAUGACCCCUGCUGUGGAUGUUCAUUACUCACUUUUGUAGUCAGCUGGAAAAAUGUUCAAAAAGGAUCAUCGCUGCCAUAAUAGAGCAGCCGAGGGGUUAGGCCCAGGGUCUUCAUAAAUUAUCCCUACUGUAGCUGUUCAAUGUUCACUUUGUAGGCAGCUGGGAAAAUGUUUAAAAAUGACUAAGACCAGCAAAAUGGAGUAGCCCAUGGGUUAGGCCCGGGGUCUUCAUAAAUGAUCCCUAAUAUGGCUGUUCACAAUUUGCGGGCAGCUAGGAAAUGUUAAAAAAUGAGUACCCCAAGGACAAUUCUAGCUGACCCCACCACCACUUGAUCAUUAUAAAUCAACUAGUGAAAAGCCAGUAAAGACAGCCUGAAAUGCAGCACACAGGCUCAUGGUAGGGAAAAUGAGCCUGCCCAACUUGGUAUAUAGGAUUAUCAGCCAAGGAUAAGACUUUGAAGUGCAUGUAUACUUUCUGUAUAUAUCCAUGUGUGUUUCCUUAUUAAUACAGGGCUAGAGAUUGUGGUUUAUCAGUUAGUAAUAAUUAAUUAUAAUAUCUAGUGAUGUAUAUAAUACUAAUGCCUAUGUUACGGUUUGUAAUAUUCACAGAUUUAGAGUAAUUGAAAUAUCAAAAUAAAUCUUAAGGCACAGUAUUUGCAUUUCAUUGCCUUUCCCUUCCCUGUGUCCAACAGAAUAGCAAGGGUAGAGAGCGAUGACAAAUUGCUUGUGGAAAAUAGCACAUAAAAAAUCAAGGUCACUUAGUUCCUUAGUAAUUUGUUCACACAUGUCUGAAUUAUUACUUUCUACCGCCCUUAUUCUGUGUUUUUUUUUCUCUUUGAAGAGGGUUUAUUGUCCAUUAAAGUUAAGUAUUACAAAAAAGUGU
This is an RNA transcript of Xenopus laevis (African clawed frog), 2768 nucleotides long. It is a transcript of the gene named KH domain containing, RNA binding, signal transduction associated 3 L homeolog, with no coding region annotated. Lineage: Eukaryota; Metazoa; Chordata; Amphibia; Anura; Pipidae. The transcript has 11 exons. The record is from RefSeq and is a predicted model, not a curated record.